This 47-nucleotide non-coding RNA is filed under the name unclassified sequences. The record is from RNAcentral.
ACCUGACCGGCAGGCAGCCGGACCAACCCAGACAGGAGAUUGACAUG